GACGGAGGAUGCAAGCGUUAUCCGAAAUUAUUGGGCGUAUAGCGUCCGUAGGGGGCCUAUCAAGUCUGCUGUUAAAUCCCAGGGCUCAACUCUGGAUCAGCAGUGGAAACUGAUAAGCUAGAGUGCGGUAGGGGCAGAGGGAAUUCACGGUGUAGCGGUGAAAUGCGUAGAUAUCGGGAAGAACACCAGUGGCGAAGGAGCUCUGCUGGGCCGUAACUGACACUCAAGGACGAAAGCUAGGGGAGCGAAAGGG
This 253-nucleotide ribosomal RNA is filed under the name uncultured bacterium. RNAcentral's name for it is "partial 16S ribosomal RNA". It matches the Rfam family "Bacterial small subunit ribosomal RNA", at positions 524 to 776 of the family's 1533-position model. The record is from RNAcentral.